UCUCCAUUCAAAAAAAUUCAUAAUUUCUUUUUUCUUAAAUUGUUCGUCCUUUUGCUGCCAAAUCUCCUCAGAUCAUCUUCCCCCUUCUCCUUUCUCCCUUCCUAACCCUAAAACACACCCUUUUUUAUCAACCCACUUUUUUCUCAGAACCAACCAUACCCUUCUUUUAGUGUUUCUGUUUUGAAAGCGUUGUCUGGGUACUCCAGAUUAGUGCAUGCAAUGAUCCAAAUAUAUGGUGUUCUUGAAAAUUCAGUUUAUGGAUUAAUAUUGUGGGUUGAAAGAAAGUACUAAAACUGGAAUGGGAAGUAAUUCAAGUUUUCAUUUUAGCCAACAUUGCAGGUUUGGAGAAACAAGGCUUGGAGGCAAGGAUUUAAGUUGUUGUUGACAGAGGGGAUGUCAAAGUAAAAUGUUGCUGAUUCUUUCAAAUUGAUUUAAGCUUCUUUUCUUUUUUUUUGUGAAAUGUUGUUGGUGACAUAUAGGAUAUGCAUGGAUUCCAAAGGAUGACAACAUCCACAUGUGGGUCUAUAUAAAACUUGAUCCUUAUUGAGGCCACAAAAUUGGUUGCAAAGCUUGAUGAGAAGGAAAGAAAUAAUUUACCAAUGCUUAGACAAGUUGAUUUCAUUGAUAGGGUCCUCCAUGAAGGGUUUCUCUGCGAUGAAUAGGUUUAGCUAGAGCAGAUGGAGUAAAGUCCAAUAUGAGAUGAUAUUGGCGUUUCUUAUCAUUUGUUGAUUAUUUCUAGCCAAGGAGUUAGACAAUGAUAUGAGGAAGUGUAAGGAAGAGUUCAAGGAGUUUGAAAGGCAGGAUGUUAACUACCAGAAAGAUUUUAAGCACAUAAGUCAGAAGAUCAAAAAGCUAGAGGAUAAACUAGAAAAGGUAGAGAAGCAAGUCAUAGUUCAAUGCAACGAGACAUAUAAUUCUUUUGUUUCUACUUUGUAUGUCAGGAUUCAUCCAAAAUUGAAGCCCUUAUGAAAAAGGGCGAGGAAUCCACUGAUGGACAAUAUUCCAAAACUGCAAAAGUUAUUGCUUGAUGAGGAGAAGAUCUUGGAUGAAAUCACAAAGAGUUCCAAAGUUUGGGAGGGUUCCAUAACUUCUCUCCCUGUUUUACCUUACUAUUUUCUCAGGCUACCAAUGAUAUGGACAAAAGGUCAUUUUCCAUGAGUAUCUCAUUUUAUAAAGGUUGUUCUGGUAGUUGAAAACUUGAUGGUUAACAUUGCAUUCACCAUUGUUUUGGUUAUCCAAGAUCACUAGCAUGUAAUCUUUACAGAAUGGAAAUGUUCAAGGAGUACUAAUAGAGAUUGAAGAAAGUCUUCUAUUGUUGUAAGUCUCCCUUAUUGAUUCUUUCUAUAUAUUCAUGCUAAGAAUUUGAUUUUGGCCUAUGUUGAUACCUAUUUAAUGUAUUUCCAACCAUCAUUUUAACCGUGCAAGGAUUGCUACAACAUUGCAACUAGAUUAGACAAGAUUUGAUCUAUUGUUAUGAUAGUCUUGGCUGUCUUCUCUAACGUGGUGGCUAUAUAUAGUGAUGCCUAUGCCUUGAUCAAGCAGAACCAAACUUCACGCGAAUGAUUUCCAUCAUUCUAAAUAAGAGAAGCUGAAUUAGGAAAUUUGGGUUUUCUAAGAGGAUCCGAUGGAUUGAUUUGAAUGAACAGAGAAGUUACCCUGUGUACAAAAGUGCUUCAGAAGUGUUACAGUCUAUAACAUGCGUCCAUCCUCCUCUGUAAUUUUCCAUUUGUUGUAGUAGUUGAAAGUUUUUUUGAACAAUACUCUCUAUCCCUUUCCCUGAUUUGUUGGCAUUUGUAAGUAUUGUAUUGAGUGAAAAUGAAUGAAUUUGUUAAAGAAAUGGUAUACAUUUGAAGAAUUGGA
Molecule: long non-coding RNA, 1860 nt
Organism: Vigna unguiculata (cowpea)
Lineage: Eukaryota; Viridiplantae; Streptophyta; Magnoliopsida; Fabales; Fabaceae
Source: RefSeq, a predicted model, not a curated record